GGGUCAGUAGGUUGGUCGUGCCACUGGUACGUACUGGUCUCACUGAUUCCUCCUUCCUGAAGAACCGUAAUGCCAUUAAUUUGGUGUUGCGGGGAAACAGGACGGUUACUUUGAAAAAAUUAGAGUGUUUAAAGCAAGCUAACGCUUGAAUACAUUAGCAUGGAAUAAUGAAAUAGGACGAUCGAUCCUAUUUUGUUGGUUUCUAGGAUUGACGUA
This 216-nucleotide ribosomal RNA is filed under the name Glomeromycotina sp. Its description in RNAcentral is "partial small subunit ribosomal RNA". The stretch from base 40 to 216 matches the Rfam family "Eukaryotic small subunit ribosomal RNA", at positions 686 to 864 of the family's 1831-position model. Lineage: Eukaryota; Fungi; Glomeromycota. The record is from RNAcentral.